RNAcentral lists this ribosomal RNA (876 nucleotides) under uncultured bacterium. RNAcentral's name for it is "bacterial SSU rRNA". It matches the Rfam family "Bacterial small subunit ribosomal RNA", at positions 616 to 1504 of the family's 1533-position model. The record is from RNAcentral.
CUGGACUGCAGCGCGAACUGUCGGGCUUGAGGGCGCACGACGCAGGCGGAAUUUGUGGUGUAGCGGUGAAAUGCUUAGAUAUCACGAAGAACCCCGAUUGCGAAGGCAGCUUGCGGGAGCGCGACUGACGCUGAAGCUCGAAAGUGCGGGUAUCAAACAGGAUUAGAUACCCUGGUAGUCCGCACGGUAAACGAUGGAUGCCCGUUCUGCGGCCUUCGGGCCGCGGGACCAAGCGAAAGCAUUAAGCAUCCCACCUGGGGAGUACGCCGGCAACGGUGAAACUCAAAGGAAUUGACGGGGGCCCGCACAAGCGGAGGAACAUGUGGUUUAAUUCGAUGAUACGCGAGGAACCUUACCCGGGCUUGAAUUGCAGACUAAUGCGGCGGAGACGCCGCAGUCCUUCGGGAAGUCUGUGAAGGUGCUGCAUGGUUGUCGUCAGCUCGUGCCGUGAGGUGUCGGCUCAAGUGCCAUAACGAGCGCAACCCCUGUCUCCUGUUGCCAUCAGGUAAAGCUGGGCACACUGGAGAGACUGCCGCCGUAAGGUGUGAGGAAGGUGGGGAUGACGUCAAAUCAGCACGGCCCUUACGUCCGGGGCUACACACGUGUUACAAUGGCCGGUACAGAAGGAUGGUGCCCCGCAAGGUGCAUCGAACCUGAAAAACCGGUCCCAGUUCGGACUGGGGUCUGCAACCCGACCCCACGAAGCUGGAUUCGCUAGUAAUCGCGCAUCAGCCAUGACGCGGUGAAUACGUUCCCGGGCCUUGUACACACCGCCCGUCAAGCCAUGAAAGCCGGGAGUGCCUGAAGUCCGUGACCGCGAGGAUCGGCCUAGGGCAAAAUCGGUAAUUGGGGCUAAGUCGUAACAAGGUAACCGUA